This 159-nucleotide ribosomal RNA is filed under the name Vachellia farnesiana (sweet acacia). RNAcentral's name for it is "5.8S ribosomal RNA". It matches the Rfam family "5.8S ribosomal RNA". Rfam says of the family: 5.8S ribosomal RNA (5.8S rRNA) is a component of the large subunit of the eukaryotic ribosome. It is transcribed by RNA polymerase I as part of the 45S precursor that also contains 18S and 28S rRNA. The record is from RNAcentral. RNAcentral also lists the same sequence under 1 other name. Lineage: Eukaryota; Viridiplantae; Streptophyta; Magnoliopsida; Fabales; Fabaceae.
CGACUCUCGGCAACGGAUAUCUCGGCUCUCGCAUCGAUGAAGAACGUAGCGAAAUGCGAUACUUGGUGUGAAUUGCAGAAUCCCGUGAACCAUCGAGUCUUUGAACGCAAGUUGCGCCCGAAGCCGUUAGGUCGAGGGCACGUCUGCCUGGGUGUCACG